AGAGUUUGAUCAUGGCUCAGGAUGAACGCUAGCUACAGGCUUAACACAUGCAAGUCGAGGGGCAGCAUCAUCAAAGCUUGCUUUGAUGGAUGGCGACCGGCGCACGGGUGAGUAACACGUAUCCAACCUGCCGACAACACUGGGAUAGCCUUUCGAAAGAAAGAUUAAUACCGGAUGGCAUAGUUUUCCCGCAUGGGAUAAUUAUUAAAGAAUUUCGGUUGUCGAUGGGGAUGCGUUCCAUUAGGCAGUUGGCGGGGUAACGGCCCACCAAACCUACGAUGGAUAGGGGUUCUGAGAGGAAGGUCCCCCACAUUGGAACUGAGACACGGUCCAAACUCCUACGGGAGGCAGCAGUGAGGAAUAUUGGUCAAUGGACGAGAGUCUGAACCAGCCAAGUAGCGUGAAGGAUGACUGCCCUAUGGGUUGUAAACUUCUUUUAUACGGGAAUAAAGUGAGCCACGUGUGGCUUUUUGUAUGUACCGUAUGAAUAAGGAUCGGCUAACUCCGUGCCAGCAGCCGCGGUAAUACGGAGGAUUCGAGCGUUAUCCGGAUUUAUUGGGUUUAAAGGGAGCGUAGGCGGGUUGUUAAGUCAGUUGUGAAAGUUUGCGGCUCAACCGUAAAAUUGCAGUUGAUACUGGCGACCUUGAGUGCAACAGAGGUAGGCGGAAUUCGUGGUGUAGCGGUGAAAUGCUUAGAUAUCACGAAGAACUCCGAUUGCGAAGGCAGCUUACUGGAUUGUAACUGACGCUGAUGCUCGAA
Molecule: ribosomal RNA, 759 nt
Filed under: uncultured bacterium
Lineage: Bacteria
Description: bacterial SSU rRNA
Rfam family: Bacterial small subunit ribosomal RNA
Source: RNAcentral